This 492-nucleotide ribosomal RNA is filed under the name uncultured bacterium. RNAcentral's name for it is "partial 16S ribosomal RNA". It matches the Rfam family "Bacterial small subunit ribosomal RNA", at positions 29 to 507 of the family's 1533-position model. The record is from RNAcentral.
AGUGAACGCUGGCGGUAGGCCUAACACAUGCAAGUCGAACGGCAGCACAGUAAGAGCUUGCUCUUACGGGUGGCGAGUGGCGGACGGGUGAGGAAUACAUCGGAAUCUACUUUUUCGUGGGGGAUAACGUAGGGAAACUUACGCUAAUACCGCAUACGACCUACGGGUGAAAGCAGGGGAUCUUCGGACCUUGCGCGAUUGAAUGAGCCGAUGUCGGAUUAGCUAGUUGGCGGGGUAAAGGCCCACCAAGGCGACGAUCCGUAGCUGGUCUGAGAGGAUGGUCAGCCACACUGGAACUGAGACACGGUCCAGACUCCUACGGGAGGCAGCAGUGGGGAAUAUUGGACAAUGGGCGCAAUCCUGAUCCAGCCAUACCGCGUGGGUGAAGAAGGCCUUCGGGUUGUAAAGCCCUUUUGUUGGGAAAGAAAAGCAGCAGGUUAAUACCCCGCUGUUCUGACGGUACCCAAAGAAUAAGCACCGGCUAACUUCGUG